Canis lupus familiaris (dog) is the source of this 104-nucleotide non-coding RNA. The record is from Rfam. NCBI's taxonomy places the organism in Eukaryota, Metazoa, Chordata, Mammalia, Carnivora, Canidae.
GUGCUCACUUUGGGAGCAUAUAUACUAAAACUGGAAAGAUGCAAAGAAUAGCACAGCCUGUGGACAAUGAUGAAACACAAAUUUGUGCAGGAUUAUGUAUUUUU